GGUAUGAGUUCAGGGCUUGAAAUGACCUCAGUGUUCCAUUUAUCCGAUCAAUUGGCCCCCUUCUCAGGCGAAUUCAUCUCUUAAUUCAGAAGAUGGCUUUUGAGAGCUUCAGACAUACAUCUAACCUUCUCAACAACUGUGAUAGAAAAGAGAAUUUCCUAAUAGGUGGGAACAAAUGCCAAUUCUAAUUCUCAUUGGCCUCAAACAACAACAACAUAUGCAUUCUCAAAACAGCAAGACUGAUAAUAUGCAAAAGACAAAGAUUCUUCUUUGGAGAAGGAGGAGCAAGAAGGAGAAGAAGAAGAAAAACUAAACAGGAACUUUUGAAAGAAGCUGUAUUGUACAGAAAACCUGUAUGAAACAUGUAUGAGAAGUGUGAUAACAGAUCUGCCCAGAGUUCUACAAAGAAUGUUUCAUUUGGAGUAAUGCUUACCCCAGGUGGGGAUGGAGGGUAGGUGAUGGGCAGUAAAGCCUACCCUGAUAUCUGCAGCUUAACAGUCAUUUGUACAGUACAUCUGUUAACCAGAAGGCCAACCAGACUUCAACUCUUAAUUGCUUUGCUAACGGCUAUAUUGAAAAACUUCCUCAUCUCACCACCAUCUGGUGUCAUUAACCUCUGCAAUCUUUCUAGGCAAUGUGUGUGUUGUUGGGUGUAUGUUAAAGGACAUUUUCAGGGAAUUUUUUUCUUAGAAUUACUUUUAGUAAGUCAGUAAAACUUAAUUCAUCUCCCCUCAUCCUCAUUCUAUUGAAUCUCAAAAUGUC
Molecule: long non-coding RNA, 762 nt
Filed under: Vulpes vulpes (red fox)
Lineage: Eukaryota; Metazoa; Chordata; Mammalia; Carnivora; Canidae
Description: lncRNA (ENSVVUG00000009601.1)
Source: RNAcentral